UAGCCUCUAACCUUUUCCUUAACCCUUCUAAACCUACUUUUAGUUUUCAGAAGCAAGUGGGCAGGAUUUGUUUUGAAAACAUGGCAAUCCUGAUUCCUUCUAAUCACAGAUUCCCUUUACUGACGAGAUGCGCAUGAAAAUCGCAUUCGAUUUUUUGCACAGCCCUACCAUUUAGUUAACAAAGCUAAACAGCGUUGCCCUUUGUGUAAUAAGUUACAGAAACUGUUAAACGCACCAACUUAAAUAAUAAAAUACACUUACCGGUUGUGGUCCAUAAACAACACCUUCUCCAGACAAAGAGGGAACUGCUCCAUCUUUCAAGAAUAAUCUUUGUGCGAAUCCGGCAUUAAACUGAUUGAGAUUGAGAAAUCUGUCCUCAGCUGAAUGUGCUGCACAUAGUUUUACAUGUGGAUUAAAUUUUCGGGAACCGAGUUAAACAUAAAUUGUAACCAUUGAUCUCUAAACGUCCCUGGGAAGGUCAAACAAAGGUGAUUGGACUCCGAGAUGAAAAUAACAGUGGUUCGAUGACAUGGGCGACAAACACACUCUUCAAACCAGUGUUGUGGGUAACGCGUUACAAAGUAACGCGUUAGAGUACUCUAAUUACUUUUUUCCUGAAAUUUGUAACUUAACGCGUUAGUUUCGUGCGUAAGUAAUCAGUAACUUCGUUAUUUUUUUUUAAAAAGUAAUCCGUUAUUUUAAGGAAAGGAAAAUCCCGACUGCAGCCUGCUUUUUGUCAGACAGUAGUCCUAGGUCUACUGUGCCACCUGCGGAUGUAUCAGCGGAGCCGAAGCUCUGUGAUCGUAAAGUCAAUGGCUGUGAUGCGUCUGCCUGUGUGUGGGUGGGGUUUUUUUUUUUUUCGAACUCCCGGCAAGAUAGCAGAGAGGACAGCGUUUGGUUUAUGGAAGUACGCACAUUAUUUUCAAUUUGUCAACGAAAAAGAAAUCGACUGUCGGACAAACGUUUCGAAAAUCUGCUUCUGCUACGUUUUAAUCACUACUUUGAAGAGUAAAUGUAAGAGGACUGUGUUACAGCGAAUUUAGGCUUGUGACUGUGAGUGACACUUUAAUAAUAAUUAGUUCGGCUAUUAAGCGAUUUGUCAUUUGCCUGUGUGGCAGUGAAGGAUUUAAUUCGGUUUGUUAUCAUUUUUGUUUGACAGGCAGCUGUUAAUUUCUGUUAGAUCGUUGGCUGGCUGGUUGUUCAUCAUUUCUAAAUGGAUUUAAAUCUGCAAGCCUGUUUAAGGUUGUGUUUACAAGUAAGCAUACUUGUACUUUGAUAACUGCAUUAUUUAAAGUUAAAGAAAAAUCAGGAGUUAUCUUGUGGUGCUCAUAAUAUACAGUAGCCUAGGCUACUCGGGCUGGGUAACGUUAGGUGCGAAUUUUGAUUAAUAAUAUGUUCUGUGAUAAUAAAUAAAUAAAACGCCAUGUGGAAUAGCCGAUUGCUGACUGUCUUUCCUGUUAUUGUUAUCCUGCAGUGUUAAUUUAGUCGGAUGUCUGACGUUAUUCAUUGUCGCGAGUCACGACUUCUAGGUGCAUUUAAAGGGGCCGGGGGCUGUGUCUGUCGUGUGUGAGCCGCUGCAAACGGCUUUUAAUUUUUGGUAACGCAUGAGUACUCUAACGCGUUACUUUUAUGAAUAGGUAACGCUGUAUCAUAACUAAUUACUUUUAAAUGAUGGUAACGUUGUAACUUAACUAACUACUUUCCAAAGUAACUAUACCCAACACUGAUGUACAGUAUGUUUUUUUUUUUUUUUUUUACCUUAAACCACAUAAACACAUUGCAUUACAUAAAAUACACAAAACUAUGUUCUUUUUAGCAACAUCGUAUCACCCCUUUAACAUAUCUUAUCCAGAG
RNAcentral lists this long non-coding RNA (1854 nucleotides) under Carassius auratus (goldfish). RNAcentral's name for it is "lncRNA (ENSCARG00000018259.1)". Lineage: Eukaryota; Metazoa; Chordata; Actinopteri; Cypriniformes; Cyprinidae. The record is from RNAcentral.